This 490-nucleotide long non-coding RNA is filed under the name Heterocephalus glaber (naked mole-rat). Its description in RNAcentral is "lncRNA (ENSHGLG00100043410.1)". Lineage: Eukaryota; Metazoa; Chordata; Mammalia; Rodentia; Bathyergidae. The record is from RNAcentral.
AAAAGAACAUAAUUAGCCCAGUUGGGCUUGAACUUACAUUCAUCCUGUCUCAGCCUUUGUAGCUUUGGGAUUAUAGGUCAUUGUUUCUCAGACUAGAUGCUGAGUCCAGUGAGACUCUGAAGAUAUCAUGAGUGUUCUUGGAGAUCAGAGCAGACGAGAUCCAACAGAGUGAGUGUAAUGCUGUUCCCAUGUGUGACACUUCCUUUGUGACCGGCUAUAUUUAUCUCUCUGAAAGCUCCUACUAUAUCCUUUAUUGUCCCCAAUGUUGCAAAAUUUCAUGAUGACAUGUUUUGUUUUAGUGUGUUUUUUAUCUAUUGCAGUAAGAACUUUCAACUUGCAAGUUUCCCUUUUUUAAAUUCUGAAGCAUGUUCUAUAUUAUCUAUUUGACAAUUUUCUACUCUCCCAUUCUUCUCUUCUUUUCCUGGAACUCUUGUUAGUUUGAUAAAAUGGACAUCCUGGGCUCACCCUUGAAUUUUAUCCCUCUCUCCAC